AUCCAUCUGAUGAGUCUCAAAUAGGACGAAAUGCGUGUGCUGAAU
RNAcentral lists this non-coding RNA (45 nucleotides) under Schistosoma curassoni. Lineage: Eukaryota; Metazoa; Platyhelminthes; Trematoda; Strigeidida; Schistosomatidae. The record is from RNAcentral.